UAAGUUAAUAAGGGCGCACGGUGGAUGCCUUGGCACUAGGAGCCGACGAAGGACGUGACAAACGACGAUAUGCCUUGGGUAGCUGUAAGUAAGCGAUGAUCCAGGGAUUUCCGAAUGGGGGAACCCAACAGGUAAUACCUGUUACCUACAUCUGUUAAGGAUGUGAGGAGGAAGACGCAGUGAACUGAAACAUCUAAGUAGCUGCAGGAAGAGAAAGCAAAAGCGAUUGCCUUAGUAGCGGCGAGCGAAACGGCAGAAGGGCAAACCGAAGAGUUUACUCUUCGGGGUUGUAGGACUGCAAUGUGGACUCAAAGAUUAUAGAAGAAUGAUUUGGGAAGAUCAGCCAAAGAGAGUAAUAGCCUCGUAUUUAAAAUAGUCUUUGUACUUAGCAGUAUCCUGAGUACGGCGGGACACGUGAAAUCCCGUCGGAAUCUGGGAGGACCAUCUCCCAACCCUAAAUACUCCCUAGUGACCGAUAGUGAACCAGUACCGUGAGGGAAAGGUGAAAAGCACCCCGGGAGGGGAGUGAAAUAGAACCUGAAACCGUGUGCCUACAACAAGUUCGAGCCCGUUAAUGGGUGAGAGCGUGCCUUUUGUAGAAUGAACCGGCGAGUUACGUUAUGAUGCGAGGUUAAGUUGAAGAGACGGAGCCGUAGGGAAACCGAGUCUGAAUAGGGCGCCUUAGUAUCAUGACGUAGACCCGAAACCAUGUGACCUACCCAUGAGCAGGUUGAAGGUGCGGUAAGACGCACUGGAGGACCGAACCAGGGCACGUUGAAAAGUGCUUGGAUGACUUGUGGGUAGCGGAGAAAUUCCAAACGAACUUGGAGAUAGCUGGUUCUCUCCGAAAUAGCUUUAGGGCUAGCGUCGACAUUAGAGAUUCUUGGAGGUAGAGCACUGUUUGGGUGAGGGGUCCAUCCCGGAUCACCAAUCUCAGAUAAACUCCGAAUGCCAAUGAAUUAUGGUCGGCAGUCAGACUGCGAGUGCUAAGAUCCGUAGUCGAAAGGGAAACAGCCCAGACCACCAGCUAAGGUCCCAAAAUAAUUGUUAAGUGGAAAAGGAUGUGGGGUUGCACAGACAACUAGGAUGUUAGCUUAGAAGCAGCUAUUCAUUCAAAGAGUGCGUAAUAGCUCACUAGUCGAGUGACCCUGCGCCGAAAAUGUACCGGGGCUAAAACAAUUUACCGAAGCUGUGGAUACCUUUAUAGGUAUGGUAGGAGAGCGUUCUAUGUGUGAUGAAGGUAUACCGUGAGGAGUGCUGGAACGCAUAGAAGUGAGAAUGCCGGUAUGAGUAGCGAAAGACAGGUGAGAAUCCUGUCCACCGUAAGACUAAGGUUUCCAGGGGAAGGCUCGUCCGCCCUGGGUUAGUCGGGACCUAAGGAGAGACCGAAAGGUGUAUCCGAUGGACAACAGGUUGAUAUUCCUGUACUAGAGUAUGUAGUGAUGGAGGGACGCAGUAGGCUAACUAAAGCAGACGAUUGGAAGAGUCUGUCUAAGCAGUGAGGUGUGAAUUGAGUCAAAUGCUUAAUUCUAUAACAUUGAGCUGUGAUGGGGAGCGAAGUUUAGUAGCGAAGUUAGUGACGUCACACUGCCAAGAAAAGCUUCUAGCGUUUAAACAUACUCUACCCGUACCGCAAACCGACACAGGUAGUCGAGGCGAGUAGCCUCAGGUGAGCGAGAGAACUCUCGUUAAGGAACUCGGCAAAAUGACCCCGUAACUUCGGGAGAAGGGGUGCUGACUUAAAGUCAGCCGCAGUGAAUAGGCCCAAGCAACUGUUUAUCAAAAACACAGCUCUCUGCUAAAUCGUAAGAUGAUGUAUAGGGGGUGACGCCUGCCCGGUGCUGGAAGGUUAAGAGGAGUGCUUAGCGUAAGCGAAGGUAUGAAUUGAAGCCCCAGUAAACGGCGGCCGUAACUAUAACGGUCCUAAGGUAGCGAAAUUCCUUGUCGGGUAAGUUCCGACCCGCACGAAAGGCGUAAUGAUUUGGGCACUGUCUCAACGAGAGACUCGGUGAAAUUUUAGUACCUGUGAAGAUGCAGGUUACCCGCGACAGGACGGAAAGACCCCAUGGAGCUUUACUGCAGUUUGAUAUUGAGUGUCUGUACCACAUGUACAGGAUAGGUAGGAGUCUAAGAGAUCGGGACGCCAGUUUCGAAGGAGACGCUGUUGGGAUACUACCCUUGUGUUAUGGCCACUCUAACCCAGAUAGGUGAUCCCUAUCGGAGACAGUGUCUGACGGGCAGUUUGACUGGGGCGGUCGCCUCCUAAAAGGUAACGGAGGCGCCCAAAGGUUCCCUCAGAAUGGUUGGAAAUCAUUCGCAGAGUGUAAAGGUAUAAGGGAGCUUGACUGCGAGAGCUACAACUCGAGCAGGGACGAAAGUCGGGCUUAGUGAUCCGGUGGUUCCGUAUGGAAGGGCCAUCGCUCAACGGAUAAAAGCUACCCUGGGGAUAACAGGCUUAUCUCCCCCAAGAGUUCACAUCGACGGGGAGGUUUGGCACCUCGAUGUCGGCUCGUCGCAUCCUGGGGCUGUAGUCGGUCCCAAGGGUUGGGCUGUUCGCCCAUUAAAGCGGCACGCGAGCUGGGUUCAGAACGUCGUGAGACAGUUCGGUCCCUAUCCGUCGCGGGCGUAGGAAAUUUGAGAGGAUCUGCUCCUAGUACGAGAGGACCAGAGUGGACUUACCGCUGGUGUACCAGUUGUCUUGCCAAAGGCAUCGCUGGGUAGCUAUGUAGGGAAGGGAUAAACGCUGAAAGCAUCUAAGUGUGAAACCCACCUCAAGAUGAGAUUUCCCAUGAUUAUAUAUCAGUAAGAGCCCUGAGAGAUGAUCAGGUAGAUAGGUUAGAAGUGGAAGUGUGGCGACACAUGUAGCGGACUAAUACUAAUAGCUCGAGGACUUAUCCA
RNAcentral lists this ribosomal RNA (2898 nucleotides) under Streptococcus pneumoniae 4027-06. RNAcentral's name for it is "bacterial LSU rRNA". It matches the Rfam family "Bacterial large subunit ribosomal RNA". The record is from RNAcentral. Lineage: Bacteria; Bacillati; Bacillota; Bacilli; Lactobacillales; Streptococcaceae.